CAGCCGCCGCGGGAAUACGUAGGUGGCAAGCGUUGUCCGGAUUUAUUGGGCGUAAAGCGAGCGCAGGCGGUUUCUUAAGUCUGAUGUGAAAGCCCCCGGCUCAACCGGGGAGGGUCAUUGGAAACUGGGAAACUUGAGUGCAGAAGAGGAGAGUGGAAUUCCAUGUGUAGCGGUGAAAUGCGUAGAUAUAUGGAGGAACACCAGUGGCGAAGGCGGCUCUCUGGUCUGUAACUGACGCUGAGGCUCGAAAGCGUGGGGAGCAAACAGGAUUAGAUACCCCGGUAGUCCCUGUCUCUUAUAC
This 301-nucleotide ribosomal RNA is filed under the name uncultured bacterium. RNAcentral's name for it is "partial 16S ribosomal RNA". It matches the Rfam family "Bacterial small subunit ribosomal RNA", at positions 509 to 807 of the family's 1533-position model. The record is from RNAcentral.